GGAGAGAUGGCCGAGUGGUCGAAGGCGCACGACUCGAAAUCGUGUAUUCCCCUAAAGGGAAUCGAGGGUUCGAAUCCCUCUCUCUCCGCCA
Molecule: transfer RNA, 91 nt
Filed under: Candidatus Peribacteraceae bacterium
Lineage: Bacteria; Candidatus Peregrinibacteriota; Candidatus Peribacteria; Candidatus Peribacterales
Description: tRNA-Ser
Rfam family: tRNA
About the family: Transfer RNA (tRNA) molecules are approximately 80 nucleotides in length. Their secondary structure includes four short double-helical elements and three loops (D, anti-codon, and T loops).
Source: RNAcentral